UACGUAGGGUGCGAGCGUUAAUCGGAAUUACUGGGCGUAAAGCGUGCGCAGGCGGUUUUGUAAGUCGGAUGUGAAAUCCCCGGGCUUAACCUGGGAAUGGCAUUCGGGACUGCAAGGCUGGAGUGCGGCAGAGGAGACUGGAAUUCCUGGUGUAGCAGUGAAAUGCGUAGAUAUCAGGAGGAACACCGAUGGCGAAGGCAGGUCUCUGGGCUGACACUGACGCUCAUGCACGAAAGCGUGGGGAGCAAACAGG
RNAcentral lists this ribosomal RNA (253 nucleotides) under uncultured bacterium. RNAcentral describes it as "partial 16S ribosomal RNA". It matches the Rfam family "Bacterial small subunit ribosomal RNA", at positions 524 to 776 of the family's 1533-position model. The record is from RNAcentral.